Molecule: ribosomal RNA, 482 nt
Filed under: uncultured bacterium
Lineage: Bacteria
Description: bacterial SSU rRNA
Rfam family: Bacterial small subunit ribosomal RNA
Source: RNAcentral
GGUAUCUACCCUUUGGCCUGGAAUAACACGAGGAAACUUGUGCUAAUACCGGAUAAGUCUUACGGAGAAAGCUUUAUGCACCAUUGGAUGAGCCUGCACUUGAUUAGUUUGUUGGUGGGGUAAUGGCCUACCAAGACUGUGAUCAAUAGCUGAUUUGAGAGGAUGAUCAGCCACAUUGGGACUGAGACACGGCCCAAACUCCUACGGGAGGCAGCAGUGGGGAAUCUUGCACAAUGGAGGAAACUCUGAUGCAGCGAUGCCGCGUGAGUGAAGAAGGCCUUUGGGUUGUAAAGCUCUUUCGUCGGGGAAGAAAAUGACCGUACCCGAAUAAGAAGGUCCGGCUAACUUCGUGCCAGCAGCCGCGGUAAUACGAAGGGACCUAGCGUAGUUCGGAAUUACUGGGCUUAAAGAGUUCGUAGGUGGUUGAAAAAGUUAGUGGUGAAAUCCCAGAGCUUAACUCUGGAACUGCCAUUAAAACUUUU